CAAUAGCGUAUAUUAAAGCUGUUGCGGUUAAAAAGCUCGUAGUUGGAUUUCUGUCAAGGACAACUGGUCCGCCCUCCGGGUGAGCACAUAGUUUGGUCUUGGCAUCUUGCUGGAAACUGUUGCUGCACUUGGCUGUGUGGCGCAGCGUCCAGCACUUUCACUUUGAGGAAAUUGGAGUGUUUCAAGCAGGCACAUGCCUUUGGACACAGUAGCAUGGAAUAAUUAGAUUGGGCUUUUGCUCCAAUUUGUCGGUUUCUGGAGCUGAGGUGAGAAUUAAUGGGGAUUGUUGGGGGCAUCCGAAUUUAGCCGUCAGAGGUGAAAUUCUUGGAUCUGCUAAAGACGGACAACUGCGAAAGCAUUUGCCAAGGAUGUUUUCAUUGA
Molecule: ribosomal RNA, 381 nt
Filed under: uncultured eukaryote
Lineage: Eukaryota
Description: partial 18S ribosomal RNA
Rfam family: Eukaryotic small subunit ribosomal RNA
Source: RNAcentral